CUUUAUAGAUCACCCACCAUAAUACCCUCCACUUUGCCCUUCAUAACUAGGGUACCUCCAGAACUGCAAUCCCCAGAUCAUCCUGAAAACCUGUCAUAUCCAUUCUACUUUCACCUCUGCCAGUUCUUCCUCUGAAGGUCCUUCCUGAUUCUGUUCAAAACUCUCACCAUCAGACACAUAUCCUCCAAACCAAAGUUCCCUCUUCUUUCACUCUAGAAAGCUUGACAUCCUGCAUUGCUUUGUCCAGACAGUACCUUCUUUCUUCUAUAUUAUGGCCAUUGAUGGUAUGAUACUUUCACAACACAGUUUUACCCAUGGUAUAAUGGUUUCCCAA
This 334-nucleotide long non-coding RNA is filed under the name Mus musculus (house mouse). Its description in RNAcentral is "long non-coding RNA chr5:44355704-44356038". The record is from RNAcentral. Lineage: Eukaryota; Metazoa; Chordata; Mammalia; Rodentia; Muridae.